AUUGAACGCUGGCGGCAGGCCUAGCACAUGCAAGUCGAACGGUAGCACAGAGAGCUUGCUCUCGGGUGACGAGUGGCGGACGGGUGAGUAAUGUCUGGGAAACUGCCCGAUGGAGGGGGAUAACUACUGGAAACGGUAGCUAAUACCGCAUAACGUCGCAAGACCAAAGUGGGGGACCUUCGGGCCUCACACCAUCGGAUGUGCCCAGAUGGGAUUAGCUAGUAGGUGGGGUAAUGGCUCACCUAGGCGACGAUCCCUAGCUGGUCUGAGAGGAUGACCAGCCACACUGGAACUGAGACACGGUCCAGACUCCUACGGGAGGCAGCAGUGGGGAAUAUUGCACAAUGGGCGCAAGCCUGAUGCAGCCAUGCCGCGUGUAUGAAGAAGGCCUUCGGGUUGUAAAGUACUUUCAGCGGGGAGGAGGGCGGUGAAGUUAAUAACUUCACCGAUUGACGUUACCCGCAGAAGAAGCACCGGCUAACUCCGUGCCAGCCGCCGCAGUAA
RNAcentral lists this ribosomal RNA (504 nucleotides) under uncultured bacterium. RNAcentral describes it as "partial 16S ribosomal RNA". It matches the Rfam family "Bacterial small subunit ribosomal RNA", at positions 30 to 523 of the family's 1533-position model. The record is from RNAcentral.